This is a long non-coding RNA of Helianthus annuus (common sunflower), 280 nucleotides long. RefSeq lists it as uncharacterized. The transcript is spliced from 3 exons. The record is from RefSeq and is a predicted model, not a curated record. Lineage: Eukaryota; Viridiplantae; Streptophyta; Magnoliopsida; Asterales; Asteraceae.
CGUAGACCUCAUAUCACCCCUGUAUGUAUUUGGUAUUUUUGUAGAUCUAGGAUUUUUUUGUAUUUUUUAGAUCCGUAAAAUGAUGAUUUGGGAAUUACAAAUCAAUGCAGAACUUGAUUUCGUUUUCCUCAGGUGCAGAUCUGGAGUUUUGAAGCUUUAGUAGAUUUUGAGAUUAAAACGAAAUUAGUGGUUGAAUUUGUUCAAUGUCCUGUUGAACAAUGUUUAAAAAAAGGAUUAAGUGAAUUUAUUGAGAAGUUUGAAUUGGACAUUGAACACUUUG